UAAUACGUGGGGAGCGAGCGUUGUUCGGAUUUACUGGGCGUAAAGAGCACGUAGGCGGGUGAGUAAGUCGGUCGUGAAAUCCUCUGGCUUAACCAGAGAACUGCUGCCGAAACUACUCAUCUUGAGUCCAGCAGAGGGAAUCGGAAUCCUGGGUGUAGCGGUGAAAUGCGUAGAUAUCUAGGAGAACACCAGUGGCGAAGGCGGGUUCCUGGGCUGGUACUGACGCUGAGGUGCGAAAGUUAGGGGAGCAAACAGGAUUAGAUACCCUGGUAGUCCUAACCGUAAACGAUGGGCACUAGGUGUUGGAGGAUGUUGACCCCUUCAGUGCCGUAGCUAACGCAUUAAGUGCCCCGCCUGGGGAGUACGGUCGCAAGGCUG
RNAcentral lists this ribosomal RNA (378 nucleotides) under uncultured bacterium. RNAcentral describes it as "bacterial SSU rRNA". It matches the Rfam family "Bacterial small subunit ribosomal RNA", at positions 521 to 896 of the family's 1533-position model. The record is from RNAcentral.